This 390-nucleotide ribosomal RNA is filed under the name uncultured Gram-positive bacterium. RNAcentral describes it as "bacterial SSU rRNA". It matches the Rfam family "Bacterial small subunit ribosomal RNA", at positions 215 to 620 of the family's 1533-position model. The record is from RNAcentral.
ACGCUAUCAGAUGGGUCCGCGUCCCAUUAGCUAGUUGGAGGUGUAAGAGACCCCCAAGGCGACGAUGGGUAGCCGGCCUGAGAGGGCGACCGGCCACACUGGAACUGAGACACGGUCCAGACUCCUACGGGAGGCAGCAGUGGGGAAUCUUCCGCAAUGGGCGAAAGCCUGACGGAGCAACGCCGCGUGAGGGACGAAGGCCUUCGGGUUGUAAACCUCUGUUUUCAAGGACGAACAGAUGACGGUACUUGAAGAGUAAGCUCCGGCUAACUACGUGCCAGCAGCCGCGGUAAUACGUAGGGAGCAAGCGUUGUCCGGAUUUACUGGGCGUAAAGGGCGUGUAGGUGGUGCAUUAAGUUAGAGGUGAAAUUACGGGGCUCAACCCCGGAG